GAUGAACGCUGGCGGCGUGCCUAAUACAUGCAAGUCGAGCGAACGGACGAGAAGCUUGCUUCUCUGAUGUUAGCGGCGGACGGGUGAGUAACACGUGGAUAACCUACCUAUAAGACUGUGAUAACUUCGGGAAACCGGAGCUAAUACCGGAUAAUAUUUUGAACCGCAUGGUUCAAAAGUGAAAGACGGUCUUGCUGUCACUUAUAGAUGGAUCCGCGCUUCAUUAGCUAGUUGGUAAGGUAACGGCUUACCAAGGCAACGAUGCAUAGCCGACCUGAGAGGGUGAUCGGCCACACUGGAACUGAGACACGGUCCAGACUCCUACGGGAGGGCGCAGUAGGGAAUCUUCCGAAAUGGGCGGAAGCCUGACGGAGCAACGCCGCGUGAGUGAUGAAAGUCUUCGGAUCGUAAAACUCUGUUAUUAGGGAAGAACAUAUGUGUAAGUAACUGUGCACAUCUUGACGGUAACUAAUCAGAAAGCCACGGCUAACUACGUG
RNAcentral lists this ribosomal RNA (497 nucleotides) under uncultured bacterium. RNAcentral's name for it is "partial 16S ribosomal RNA". It matches the Rfam family "Bacterial small subunit ribosomal RNA", at positions 28 to 507 of the family's 1533-position model. The record is from RNAcentral.